This 433-nucleotide ribosomal RNA is filed under the name uncultured bacterium. RNAcentral's name for it is "partial 16S ribosomal RNA". It matches the Rfam family "Bacterial small subunit ribosomal RNA", at positions 29 to 507 of the family's 1533-position model. The record is from RNAcentral.
AACGAACGCUGGCGGCAUGCCUAACACAUGCAAGUCGAACGAAACCUUCGGUUCUGGUGUCCCCCGGUUGCGUAACGCGUGGGAAUCCGCCCUUGGGCUCGGCAUAACAUCUGGAAACGACUGCUAAUCCCGGACGAUUACGUAAGUCCAAAGCUUUAUCGCCCAGGGAUGCGCCUGCGUAGGAUCAGCUUGGUGGGGUGGUAAAGGCCUACCACGGCGACGAUCCUUAGCUGGUCUGAGAGGAUGAUCAGCGACACUGGGACUGAGACACGGCCCCUACUCCUGCGGGAGGUAGCAGUUGUGGAUAUUGGACAAUGGGCGAAAGGCUGCACCAGCGAGUGCGCGUUGACGAUGAAGGCCUUGGGGUUGGAAAGCAGUAGGACCCGGGAUGAUAAUGACAGUACCGGCAGAAUAAGCCCCGGCUAACUACGUG